Molecule: ribosomal RNA, 490 nt
Filed under: uncultured bacterium
Lineage: Bacteria
Description: partial 16S ribosomal RNA
Rfam family: Bacterial small subunit ribosomal RNA
Source: RNAcentral
AAUGAACGCUGGCGGCAUGCCUUACACAUGCAAGUCGAACGGCAGCAUGACCUAGCUUGCUAGGUUGAUGGCGAGUGGCGAACGGGUGAGUAAUGCAUCGGAACGUGCCUUUUAGUGGGGGAUAACGUAGCGAAAGUUACGCUAAUACCGCAUAUUCUCUGAGGAGGAAAGCAGGGGACCUUCGGGCCUUGCGCUAGAAGAGCGGCCGAUGUCGGAUUAGCUAGUUGGUGAGGUAAAGGCUCACCAAGGCAACGAUCCGUAGCGGGUCUGAGAGGAUGAUCGGCCACACUGGGACUGAGACACGGCCCAGACUCCUACGGGAGGCAGCAGUGGGGAAUUUUGGACAAUGGGCGCAAGCCUGAUCCAGCCAUGCCGCGUGAGUGAAGAAGGCCUUCGGGUUGUAAAGCUCUUUCGGCUGGGAAGAAAUCGCACCCUCUAAUACAGGGUGUGGAUGACGGUACCAGCAUAAGAAGCACCGGCUAACUACGUG